UAUAUAUGUCUGCAGUGACCCUGUAUGAGCAUAUAUCUGAAGUUCACAGUCUGACCUCAAGUAAAUACUUAUUUAACGGAUGCUGGGAAAAGUCGCUGUAAUGAGGAUUCUCAAAGCAUAACAGAAAAAUGUGAUGAUAAAAAUUAUUCCAGUGAAUAUUAGAAGUGGAUAGAAGAUAGAAAGAGCUGUACCAGUAUUUAUAUCUUGGAAAAGGCCAGAAGAUUACGAAUAAUUUUGCUUUCCAAAAUUUCUGCAAUCAUCCAGCACAACACAAGGUGACUUUUGAAUCACUGUACUUGUAAGUCUUCAAUUGGAAGAGCAGGAUAAUUAAAACAUUUUCAAGUAUUACUCAAAAUUUACUUGAACAUAAUUUAAACUAAGACGAAGAAAGAUUGCAGUGGAACUCUUCAUUACCAUGGGAAAGUUAUGUUCAGCAUGAGAAUCACUGUAGAAUGGUCUGAUAAAAUAAGCUAUGAUGCUACUCUUCCUUUUACUUCCUCUCUUUUCAGUGAAGUGAAAAGCCAUCCCAGUACUUUAAAAAUGUGUUAGCUGCCUGGAAUCAGAGAAAUGAUUGAGACCCAGAAGCUUUUCUUAUUUUGUUUCCCGCUAAAUUCCAACCUUGUACAUCAGCAAAGGUAAUUAACCUAAUACUAACUAUUCUGUGUAUUCUUAUUGUGAUCCUGACAGACCUAAUUUAGUACUGACAGCGCUAGAAGGAUUCCCUAUUUAACUUGUUGUCCCAUUCUCCUGAUAGCUCAUUAGUGAGCCCUGGCUUUGCUUAAUGCCUGAAACACAAAGUGUAAAUUGGUGUGCAUAAAUCAUUCACUACCUUCAAGGGACAGAAUCUUUUGGCACAUUCUUGGCUUAUAUUUCCUUGAUUUUCUGUUCAGUGGAUUUAGAGACCAAUUUUGGAUUUUCCCUACAGGCAGACUCUGUGUCUACUCUGGUAUAACAGUGAAUUUAUGUUAAAUAAAGCCAUAUUACUAAGCAAAGUGUUUAACUGUCGUCUGUCACGAAAUAGAAUUGCAUCUGUGGGAUUCAAAAGCAACUGGAACAGCCUCUUCACUGAUGUGGUGACUGCAACAAAUAGUAAUGAUGAAGACUUUUCCAAAUGGAACAUCUUAUUUUCUUUAGGAUAUUAUCAGACACUCGGAAAA
Lagopus muta (rock ptarmigan) is the source of this 1157-nucleotide long non-coding RNA. RefSeq lists it as uncharacterized. NCBI's taxonomy places the organism in Eukaryota, Metazoa, Chordata, Aves, Galliformes, Phasianidae. The transcript has 3 exons. The record is from RefSeq and is a predicted model, not a curated record.